Octopus bimaculoides (California two-spot octopus) is the source of this 205-nucleotide long non-coding RNA. RefSeq lists it as uncharacterized. The record is from RefSeq and is a predicted model, not a curated record. Lineage: Eukaryota; Metazoa; Mollusca; Cephalopoda; Octopoda; Octopodidae.
GGCUGCUGUUAAUAAAUGGCGGUUAUGCCUCAACGUGUCGGUAGGAAUGGCUAUAUAUCCGUCAGUCAACACAAAGCUUGGUCCACUAUGGCAAAGAAUAAACGUUGAACGAAGAAAAGAGACAGCACGGUAUUAUGUUCGGUUGAUUCGGCUGGAAAUAAAAACGAAACAAAAUAGAAUGAAAAUAAAAAUAGAAUAAAGAAAA